RNAcentral lists this ribosomal RNA (497 nucleotides) under uncultured bacterium. RNAcentral describes it as "partial 16S ribosomal RNA". It matches the Rfam family "Bacterial small subunit ribosomal RNA", at positions 28 to 507 of the family's 1533-position model. The record is from RNAcentral.
GACGAACGCUGGCGGCGUGCCUAAUACAUGCAAGUUGAGCGCUGAAGGUUGGUACUUGUACCAACUGGAUGAGCAGCGAACGGGUGAGUAACGCGUGGGGAAUCUGCCUUUGAGCAGGGGACAACAUUUGGAAACGAAUGCUAAUACCGCAUAAAAACUUUAAACACAAGUUUUAAGUUUGAAAGAUGCAAUUGCAUCACUCAAAGAUGAUCCCGCGUUGUAUUAGCUAGUUGGUGAGGUAAAGGCUCACCAAGGCGAUGAUACAUAGCCGACCUGAGAGGGUGAUCGGCCACAUUGGGACUGAGACACGGCCCAAACUCCUACGGGAGGCAGCAGUAGGGAAUCUUCGGCAAUGGACGAAAGUCUGACCGAGCAACGCCGCGGGAGUGAAGAAGGUUUUCGGAUCGUAAAACUCUGUUGGUAGAGAAGAACGUUGGUGAGAGUGGAAAGCUCACCAAGUGACGGUAACUACCCAGAAAGGGACGGCUAACUACGUG